AAUUCUCAAAAACCCUUUUCUUUGAUUGGAAGGGGGCUUUUGGACUUGGAGGUUCCAUGCUCGUCAAAGGUGAGCUCCUCUCAAAUGAAUUAGUGGGGGUCCGCUUUGUCGAUCCUCGACGUGAUAAGAUGUUUCUACGUUUUGGAUCUGGCACUGUCUUUCGGACUUUUGCUCCUAAUCGUCCCCCAUGGACAAACGAUGGUGCUCCGGUCCGUUGCCAAACCUACGUUUGGCGGGGGGCUUGACCCACGACCAAAAA
Molecule: unclassified non-coding RNA, 259 nt
Filed under: uncultured Russulaceae
Lineage: Eukaryota; Fungi; Basidiomycota; Agaricomycetes; Russulales; Russulaceae
Description: sequence contains ITS2
Source: RNAcentral